GGAAGAGACCUCUGCCCGCUUGGUGAGCUGGCGCUCCCCUCUGCGAGUAUUGCGGAACAUCUGACCACUCAGUGCGUUGAUGUGUUUACCUGACCGGCUUCCCCACGAAACGAGGAGCUCUCUCUGCCUCAUCUGCCUGUGUUCUUCAGUGACUAACCCAAUCCCUCGCUUGCGAUGGGUGCUUUGUAAGGAUGCAUUGGAUAAAUGAAUAAAUAGCAACUCCACUUUACCCGUCAAACCACUUUGGGCGUAUUGAACUCCUGCCUGGGCACCAGUUGUACUUCAUUUCUUAUUACAAAGCACUAAGUACCUCUUCCAGAAAAAUCUGCAAAUCCAGACAAAUAAAAGGAAGAAGCUAGAAACACUUCUGUUACCACUCAGCGGUGACUCAUUAAAAGAACUGACACAUACACACACACACAUAUAUAUAUACACACUCAUCAUAGUAUGCUAGUAUACACAUUAGUUUGUACGUGGCUAUUUUAGUAAACACAUGAUUAAUUCCUUCCCAGGUCAGUGUGCACACUUCCCUCGCCAUUUGAUUGCUCAGACACCCAGAUUCACCAUUGUUCAGACAUAAGUGGCAGAGCCCCUCCAGUUUUUCUUAAUGUCUGGGACAGACAGUUACGAGUCAACUUUUGCACCAUAAUAAACAAUGCUUCAGUGACUGUUCUCGGAUUAAAUCUUUGUGACUAUAUUUUCCUAUUUUAUUGGGAUAUAUUCCCAUGAGGUAGAAUGGCUGAAGCAAGGGCUGUUUAGGCUAUUUAGGUUGCCACGUUCCCCUUCGGGAAGUUUGGAACAGUUUCUCCUUCCACCACCGUAUCUGAGACCACCAUGGCCCUGUGCCCUCUGCAGCAGGAACUGAGGUAAAUGUGCCUUUUCCAGCCUCUUCUCUUUGGCCCGUGACACAGCACCAGAUGCAUGGCUGUUCUUGGCCUACAUGGCCCUUCUUCAGAGGCCCUCCCUCACCGUGCGCUGUGUAAUGCUCCUAUUGUUUCCCCUUCCAGCCCGUAGUUUCUGUAACACACGUCUCGAAUCAAUUAAAUCGUGAUUUGUGGUGUUUGGAGCUGAGCCUGCAUGGGUCUGGUUCCCUGUUGUGUCCUGGCAGCCAGCAUGGUAUUUCAUAAUGGUCAGAAGCACAGGCUGAAGUCAGAAAGACCUGGAUUUACCAUGGUUCUGCCCCUUUGCUCACCCAGGUCUUCUCUUUCUCAUCUGAGUAUUGGGAGUUAUUAUGUUGCCUGCCUCGCACAAUGAUGGGGAUGUUUAAAUGAGACAUGGUGCGUGAAGAGCACAGCACACAGCUUAACGUAUGGUAAAUCCUUAACUAUUGCUGGCUGCAGUGUGGUUCGUGGGUAGGUUGUGAGUGCUUACUACAUUCCGGGCACUGUUCUAAGUGGUUUGCAUCAGGAGCCGGCCCUGUGGCCCAGCAGUUAAGUGUGCAUGUUCUGCUUCAGUGGCCCGGGGUUCGCCGGUUCGGAUCCCGGGUACGGACAUGGCACCGCUUGUCAAGCCAUGCUGUGGUAGGCGUCCCACAUGUGAAGAAGAGGAAGAUGGGCAUGGAUGUUAGCUCAGGGCCAGUCUUCCUCAGCAAAAAGAGGAGGAUUGGCAGCAGAUGUUAGCUCAGGGCUAAUCUUCCUCAAAAAAGAAAAAAUAAAAUAAAAUAAGUGGUUUGCAUCAGAGAUCUGCAAAGUGCGGCUCAAGGGCCAUAUCACGCCCACUGCCUGUUUUUGUACAGCUAGGAAUGGUUUUCACGUUCCUAAAUGGUUGGAAAAGAACUCAAAAGAAGAAUCAUAUUUCAUGAUACAUGAAAAUUACAUGAAAUGGGAUUUCAGUGUCCAUAAAUAAAGUUUUGUUGGAGCACAGCAUGCCCUUUCUUUUAUAUAUUGUCCAUGGUUUCUGUUACACUAUGAUGGCGGAGAUGAGUAGCUGCGACAGAGCUCUUCUGAUCCACCACACCAAAAUAUUAACUAUCUGGCCCUUUCCAGGAAGAGUUUGAGGACCCUUGGGUUACAUGUGUGAGCUCAUCUAAUCCUGCGUAGUGCAGGCGGGGACUGUCACCAUCCCCUUGUACACGCGGGCAAGUGAGGUACAGACAGGUUAAGAAAUUGCCUCAAGUCACACACAGCUUGUAAGUGGUAGAGCUGGGGUUUGGUUUCUAGGGCUGGGGCUCCCAGUGGUUCCACCAUAGGGUGAGGUUCUUGGUCUUCGCAGGUGAGGGAUAUGAGGCAGAAAGGUGAAGUCAUGCAUUUGUGAGUGGUAGAAUCAGGACUUAGAACCAGGUCCGCUGGACCUCAGAGUUCUUGGCCUUUCUCUUGUAACAGGUUCUUUCUACCCCUCCAGUCUCCUAGCAUCACAAGCUAAACACAGAACCCAACACACAGAGGCCUUUGAUACGUCCUUAAAAUUGCAGGCACUUGAAAGCAUCGAGAUAUAUCCACGAGACCAGAGUCACUUGUGGGUUUUUCUACCCUAAAUGUUUGUGGAAUGAAUGACUGCAUCUGGUGACUAGCUCCUGGCUCUUCAGAGUUUAGACUUCGAGACAGGUCAGGGACUUCUGGGAAAGCAGCAAACCCAGGAACUUCUCAUGGGAAGGGGACCUAGGAGGACGCCAAUUAUCCUUCCAGGGUGGCUGGGCGUUCUUCGGCCACAAUGCCACACGCCUCUUCAGUUAAAAUUCCACUGAAAGAAUACUGCUGUCUUCUCUUUGCAUCACAAUUGUCUUUACUUCUGUUGAUUCUGAAUGUUUCUUUCUUUAAACAGUUUUGUUGAGAUACAAUUCACACACGAUACAAUUUACCAAUCUUAGAACGUUUUCACCACCUCAGAAAGAAAGUCUGUGUGCUUUAGUUGGCAUCUCCCAAUUCCCCUUGCACCCCCAGUCUUAAGCAACCUAUAAUCUACUUUCUGUUGCUAUGCACAUUUCAUGUAAAUGGAAUCAUACAAUAUGUGGUCUUUCAUGACUGAUUUCUUUCACUUAGCGUGAUGUUUUCAAGGUUCGUCCACUGUGUGUCAUGUAUCUAUAUUUCAGUCAUUUCUGUGCCUGAAUAAUGUUCCAUUGUAUGGAUAUGAUGAAUUUUAUUUGCUCAUUCAUCAGUUGGUGGACAUCGGGUUGUUUCCAUCUUUUGGUUAUUAUGAAUAACGCUGCUCUGAAUGCUUGUGUACAAAGUUUUGUGUGGAUCUAAGUUUUCAUUUUUCUUGUUCUGUUAAUUGUUUUAUUGAGGUCAUAUUGGCUUAUAACAUAGUGCAGUAUGUUUUCAUUUUUCUUGAGUAUAUACACCUAGGAAUGGAAUUUCUGGGUACUAUUGUUACUCUAUGUGUACCCUUUUGAGAAACUGCCAGACUGUUUUCCCAGGUCCCUACACUGGUUUUCAUUCCCACUUAGAGCUGCCUGUGCUUGCUCAUCACUCCUGCUCAUCUUUAAACAUAACAGAUUCCAUUUAUAUGAAUUUUUAGAGCACACAGAAUUAAUCAAUGGCGCUAGACGUCAGCACAGUGGUUGCCCCUGGGAGGAGUGCAGAGACGACUGGGAAAGGUGCGGGGCACUUUCUGGGUGAGGGAGACGUUUUGUGUCUUGGUGGUUUAGUGUGUCUGGGAUCUGCAUUAGUCAAACUCACCAAACAGCUCAUUUAAGAUCUGGACAUUUCACUGUGUGUUAAUUAUGCCUAAAAUUAAAAAAAAAAAAGUACAAGUGAAAAAAACAUAGGUGGAGGGGGAAAAAUAAAAAAAUAUAAAUUAUCUCAUGACAUGACUUAUCUUACCCACCUUCUCCUGGACAGAGGGCCUGUGCCUGGCAGGCAAGGCCAAGUGUGAAAAAAAGGCUCUUAAUUGAUGUGAUUAACUGCUUCUCAAUAGGGAGCCUCAUUAACACCAGGAGGGAGGAAAGAAGGUUAUUUUUCACUCUCCCAACUAGGGGAUGGCACUAGAAGGGCUGGUCCUGCCGGUCGGGGAGGGGCAGUGGGAAGUCCUGUUCCAGACCCUUUGGCACAGUAGAGCUGCAUUUCCCAUCAGCAUUAAGAUGCUUUUUUUGUCGAGGGGGCGGUCAUUUUCUCAAUUGCUACAAAACCUAUUCUCCAUUUUCAUCUAUGGGGAAGAAGAAACCAACCCAAUUCCUUUCUUUUUCUUUUGGCAUAUUUUUCAAGGCCAAAUCAUCCACCAGAACAUGGCAUUAAGAUAGAACAUUCUUUAGCCCAUCCUAGUGGCUGAUGAACAGACGACGGGAAACAAACAAAACAGAAGUUAAGGGUUUAAUCUCUUCCCCCUUGGAAUCUGCCGAGAAAUUUAUGAAUUGGCAUAAGUUCACAGAAGAUUAGGUUUGGGCAAGCAUCACUAAUUACCUAAAAAAAAAGUCAAUAUUGGGGCCCGCCCAGUGGCGUAGUGGUUAAGUUCGUGCUUUCAGCUUCUGCGGCCUGGGGUUUGCUGCAGUUUGCUUGGUUCAGAUCCUAGGCGCGAACCUAGCACCGCUCAUCAAGCCACGUUGUGGUAGCAUCCCACAUAAAAUAGAGGAAGAUUGGCACAGAUGUUAGCUCAGCAACAAUCUUCCUCAAGCAAAAAGAGGAAGGUUGGCAGCAGAUGUUAGCUCAAGGCCAAUCUUCCUCAUACACACAUGCACACACAAAAUCAGUACUAUAAAAUUUUUUAUAAAAUUGUAUCGUUUUAUUGGUAGGCUAGAAAAAAGUAUCUUUGGAUAGAAAAAAGCCUACAAGUAUAAACAACACCAUCAUUUUUAGAAGGAUGUUAUUACAUGUGUGUUGUCUUUUCUUAUUCCUUCUCUGUGAUUUAUUUUUUCCACUGACCAUUUAUUGCUUGUGAAUUAAAUUGCUUGUUAAGGAAUUUUUUGGUUCUCCCAUUGAUUGAAUUGAUCACUUUCCUCUGGCUCCCCUCUCUCUAGCGCAGACUCUCCCCUCCCCGCUGUGUUUACAGCUUAUGAACUUCAAGGCAGCAUUGCAUAAGGCAUUGAACAUGAGCUUUGGAAGUCUGCAGGUCAGGGUUGGAUCUUGUAGGUUCUAGGGCAAAUCACAGAUCUUGUCUGUGGCUUGGUUUCCUCAUCAGAAGGAUGGAACUGAUAAUACUCUUCCGGAUGGAUUGAUGUGAAACCUACAUGGGAAAACCCCAGCACAGUGCUUGGCCCUUUGUAUCAGAUCGCUCCUUCUUUUCUAACCUCCUUUUAGCCUGGUACCUUGGAAACCAACACUCAGCUUUAUAAUCGAGAUGACUUCUAACAGCUGGGCGGUAUCUCUAAUCUUUGCAGAAGCUUAAAUACACCUGCACAUAAUGUUGGGGGUGUGUGUGUGUGUGCACACACAAGCAUGUGUGUAACACUUUUGUGUGUGUGGCUCAACAUGAAACAACACCUCUCCUGUGGAUGAGUUAAGACCGCUCACUGCUGGCGCUGGAAUCGAUCACGAGGCAAAGGUAGAAUGAAUUGCAGCGAACACCUGGGUGACGGUGCUAUUUAUAUUCCUUCCUGUGGUACCGUCCCUGGCAGUGGUGGCUUCGGGCUUCAAGCCGUGUGCCCAAAAUGAUGGAAAGGUUCUCUUCCUGCAAAUCACGGUAGUAAGUGCAGCCCCAGGCCGGGGUGUGGGGAGGGCCCCAGCAGAGGGUGAGUCAGGGUUUGCAAACUAUGUUUACUCUGGUGGAACAUGCAGGGCGCACAUGGCAGAAGUGAUUUGCACACAUGCAAAACAGGAGCCACGUGCUGUCCUCUCUGUUUCGCCUCCCCCUCCCUCGUCACCUUUGUCACCCUCCUCCGGCCCGCAGCAGUGCCUCCCCCAGCCCCUUUUCGCAGCUUCUUUUUAGGGCAGUGGUUUUCAAACGUCAGUUUGCAAAUGAUCACCUGGGAAACUUGCUAAAAUGCAGAUUCCUGGGCUCCUCCGUCAGAUUUUCUAAUUCAGCGGCUCUGAGACGGGGCCUGAGAAAUGGCAUUUUCACCAAACAUCUCAAAUAUGUCCAUUUGACCGGGAAGGCACCAUCAGCACGCCUGAGACCUGUCAGUAUUUUGAGGGCCCACAAACAAAUCUGAGAACUGACAUACGAUUUUUAGUUUCAAAAUAGGAAAAGAAAGGUGCAAAAUUGAAAUAAUGAUACCUCUGUAUAUAACUUUACAUCAGUUUGUCGAGUGCAGCUCAACUUCUGCCGUUACAUGGGAAUUACUUUUCAUGUAGGAUCUGGAUAAGUUUGCUAUAUUUGACAUGCUGUAUGUCAGGCCUCCAAAAGCCUUGAAAAAGCACUCACCCCAUGGACCAUGCUCUGAGAAAUAAAGCCCUAGAUGAUUUUCGAUCCGGAAGCACCCUUAGAAAUGUUCUUCUUUAAUGCCCAGGUUUUACUGUAAGGAAAACCGAGGCCUAGAGAGAGAAUGACUCACCCAAGGUCACACAGCAAGUUCCUAAAGAGGCCAGACUAGGGCGCAGUUUUUACAACUUGUGUGCCUGUGCCCAGUGUGCACCGACUUGUUGCGUCCCUGUCGGCAGUUCCGCAUCUCUCUUUCACUGUGGCUUUUCUCCCCUGUGGGACCCGUGUCCUCAGGCCAGUGUGUCACCCAGUGUCAAGCCCUGAGGAGAGGGGAGGAAGGCAGUGGGGGUCUCAGGCAUUGUAUCCUACAAGGCCAGUCUUCAGCUUCAUCCCCUGCAGAGGGAGAAAGGCUGAGUCACUCACUUGAAGCUGAAGCAUGAAAAGCUGGCUCACUUCUCAGCACCCAUUGAGCACCAACUGUGUGCCAGGCAUUGUGCACAGUGAGGGUAGCAGGGAAUAAACCCAAGGUAGCCUCUGCCCUCAGGGAACUUACAUUUAUUCAUUCAUCCAUUCAUCCAGCAAAUAUCUGCUGAGCACCCUACUAUGUGCCUGGCACUCUGAACAGGCAGAUAUGAAGCUUAGAUUCUAGUCAGGGAGACAGGUAAUAAGCAAGAUGGCAGAUCCGUAUGCAAUUAAGACUUUUCAGGUAGUUCCAAGUACAAGGAGAAAAAUAAAAGAAGAUCAUGAGAAAGGAGAGUGGCCGGGUGCAGGGCAUGCCCUGUGGCAGGGUCCACUGACUCCAGUGCUGGGUGGCCUUUCUCCCUGCACACAGACAGCGGCAGCAUCAGCAGGCCACCUAACCAAGGAGGCUGAGUGACGCAUUGGAGAGUAGAUAGUCUCUGGGUUUAGAAACUUGUGGCCUCUCUGAGCUCCAGUGUCCUUAUAGUCGGAUGCUCAUGUUAAUUUCCUAGCUGGCAUUGCUUGAUUCUGUGCUAGGAACGACUUGAAGUGCUUUAUGUGCAUUAUCUCCCUUAGUUGUGCCAGCAUCACGAAGAGGUUAGUAUCCUGCCAGUUUACAGAUGAGGAAACUGAGGCACAGAAGGUAAGUAACUUGCUCACCAUCACAAGCCUCAGGAUUAUGAAACCAGGACACACAACCAGGCAGCUUGCCUCCAGAACCCUCCUGCUUAACCACUGUGCCUUAUGUCCUCUGCUGCCUUCCUCUCCUGACGUAAAGAAGUCCCUGUGACAGUGGGAGGAGAGCGCAGGCUCUGGAGUCAGGCCCAUUCCUUACUGUCUGGGUGCCUCAACCUCUUUGUGCCCCAAAUUUCUCAUUGGGAGAGUGGGAAUAAGGAUCCUUACCUCACAGGGUUGUUGAAAGAGCCAGAGGCAUUGGUAAUAUUUUAAGGUGUUUGGUACUCAGUAUAUGUUUUUAAACAUUUCAGAAUAAAUUCUCGCUACUGGAAGGAAUGAACGGUAAAUUCCAUGUGCCUUGAAAAGUGAUGCACCUAGGGCUUUCAUCUUUUCUGACUCUGCCUUCUGGAGAUUAGAAUUGCCCUCCCUUGCCUGCUGUGACUAGUUCUGGCGAACACGGAGUGAGCAGAAGGGACGUUUCUGGCCGUCUCAUUGAAAUGCUAGUGAGAGACCCUCCAGAGGUCUCCCUCUCUUCUGCCGACUGCUAUAACUUUUGAAAGAGUUUAUUGAGUUCUUUCUCUAGUCCAUUCUGAGGGCUGCCCCCAGGCUGAUCUCCCCAUGAACUUCUCUUAUCUGCUGCAUUACUUUCUGAGGUCUUCAUCCUCUUUUUCCCAGCAUGGACGCCCCUGCCUGGCUUUCAAGGUCCUCAAAAUUCUGGCCCUAACAUACCCUCCCAGGACUUGCAGAUGUUUUCUUUCUAUUCUGGCCUCAAGGGGCUCCUUUUUGGCCACUGAGCAUGCAGACCCCUUCCCGGCUCCAGGCCUAGAUCACGGGCCUCCCUCUUGGAUGCUCCCCCGCACCACCCCAUCCCAUGGCCAUCCUUCAAAUCGGACUCUCAGAGGACUUCUCUCCGCAGCCCACCGUGGCCUACCCACCAUGACCUGCCCUCCUGCACCCAGACCACGCAGGGCCCACACACGAUCAGUCUUUGUCUUGCUCUGUUAUCUUCGACUUCAUUCCUGCGUGCUUAUCUAACAUUCCUCAUGUUGGAGUCUUGACUCCCUAACUAGGUUCCAUAAUCAAGGAAUGGCCUCGGUGUUGCAAUUCUUCACUGCAGUGUCUUAGUGAUAACAGGCCCCUGAGAAAUAAGGUUUUAAAGCAUUAGUUGGAUUGGUGGUACAGGGCUAGGGAAUCGAAGGGGAAAACCAAAGCAAAGGCCCUCUCCCUCUCUUUCAUUGUCCAGUCAUCCCAGCUCUCCCUUCUCCCAGGCCAGACCUGCCUUCCAUGGCUAGCACAGUCCAAGCGUUUAUGCCCACUCCCUGAAACGUUAUGCUUUGAAUCCAAAGGUAACUGUUGAAGCAGCCCAGCUCAAACCACUGCUGCUGUAAACUCUGGAAUAGGAGAAGCGCAGGAUGUGCAGGCUGGAUGAGCCAGGCAGCAAAUCUGCUCUAGGAAGCAGAGGGUGCUUCCCAGGGGAACUGAUGUUUAAGUGGAGCCGAGAAGGAAGUGUGGGAAUUAGCCUAACGGAGAGACAGAGGCAUGCUCAGCGGAGUUCACAGCCUGCAUUAAGGCCUGGGGGGCUCGAGAGCUUGACCAGGGGUGAGCAGGAAUGGCCCGGGGAGGUAAGUAUUAUUCUAAAGAAUGCCCGAAUCCCAGAGCUGUAAUCCACCCAAGUACAGAGCCGUAGCUCGAGCUUCCCCUCCUGCAUAUCCCCUGUCUCUCCAUUCCUCCGGUGUGUGCGUAUAUUUUAUAGAGAUGCCUUCUCAAUGGAUGUGGGAUUUUUUAAUGCAGUUUUUCAUGCAAACAUUCCCAUUUGUUAUUCCUCUGUUUUUCCUUCUUUUCUGGAGGCCUUAGGCUGCCACUCCCCCUCCACCCCCCCCCCCCCCCACUUUCUCAUUGUCCCAUCUGCCACUCCACUCCUCAUGGCUGCCUCUUGAAAGAGAUCUCUUUAUAUGCAGAAAACCUCUUUAAAAAGGUGUGAGUGCCCAUUAAUGGACGGAUCUCAUAGGGGGAACGUAUAGCAUCAGGGAAGUUGGGAGAAGUCCACCUUCCCUGGGAGUCAAAAUGAUGCUCACCAAACACUGUGACCAUGGCAUUCCACUCCCAGUAAGUUACCAAAAAUUAGAAUAACAGGUUUUGGAGUUUAUUCUAAGAGUUUGUGGGGAGGCUGGCACAUGCCUCCAUUGCUGGUGGCAGCAUAAACUAGUGACAAAUAAAAAUGGCAAGUAAUAGGAUAUAUUGGAGUAUAUGAGGAAGCCAUUUGGUGUAAACCUAAUUCGGCCUGACCUUGUCUUUCCAAAAGGGCCUGACCUUGGCCAUGGAGCAUGCAUUGUAUAUGCGCUUAGACAUUCCCUAUGGCAAGAACAAAGGCCCUUGAGAUAAAGGUGCAACUUCCCUCCCCCUCCCAACAUUGGCAUUUCCUUAAGGAUUAAGCAUCUUUCCUUAGGCUAGGAACUGAUUGCUGCGCUCACCUGUGGCCACCCAGGUCAAGACAAUAGACUUGCCUCCUGCUGCGCCUGCCGAGAUAGCAGACCACUACCUGCUGCGUCCAUCGAGCGCUGUGCCAACAGGGCAAUCUUGUGACUAUUGUGGGAGGGACAUUUCAAUCCUAUGUGAAACGUCCUGCUUGGGGGUAUAUAACCACUCUGUAUACCUCACUUCUUUGGUGCACUUUCUUAUUCGGGAAGAAAGGCCCCAGGCCAUGGUCCUCAGAUUUUAGCUCAGAAUAAACUCUCCCAAAUUUUCAUUUAUAGAUUGGUUAUGAAUUAUUUUCGUCGACACUAGUCUUUUGGAAAACUUAUUUGUCAGGAGUUAUCAAAGCAUCACUUGGAGCUUGUACCCCUAUUUGGGGAAUGUAUUUCAAAGACUCGUUCCAGGAGAAGAGAAGAUAGUGGUGGGCAGGAAGGGGUUUUUUGAAGCCAGGUGUAUUUAGGGGCACAAGUUGAAGCAAAAUGGUGCCCAGGGACACAUGGUACUUCGACAACACUGAAUCUUUCCCGGACACCUGAGGGAUCAUGAUGGAGAAGCGGUGGCCACCUUAAGGAGAGCAGUGACAAUCUGUGAUGUGGCGAUCGCAUACAGCAUUAUGUCCUUCCUGGGAUUAUGGAAGGUUAUAGAGAGAGAUCAGCUCUUUGUUGGAAAUAUGAAGAUUUUGCUUACUUGGGGUCAUAGGAGUAUGAUAAUUUCUUCUUCUCUUCUUCUCUUCUGUCUUCUAAUCUCUUCUCUUUUUGGUAACCUUCCUUAUACAGUUAAAAAAAUGAUUCAUUACCAGAGAAGAAAAGAAAAAGGAAUAUAUAUGUGGGUUGGUAGGGCCUCGUGUACCCCUGGGACUGGUGUUGCGGGGAGCCUGCUCUCAGACAUGUCCCAGGAUGUCAUAGGCGCUCCAGGGUGAAGGAGGGGGUGCUGCAGCCAGGUAUGAGGACCUGUAUGCCUCACCCAGCGAGAUGAGCUGCUAAGCCCCCAGCACAGUGUCUUAUACAAGCUCAGCUCCGUGAGGGACGUGCCUCCUUCCCCCAAAUAGUCAUCAUUGUGCUUUUCGUCCUUCCCCUGUCAUGUCUCAUUGAAACCUCAUCAUAAUGGUGCCAGAUGGGUCAUGUAAUAAUGCCCAUUUGACAGACAAGAAGGCUGAAUCCUUAGUUGACAUGGAGGAAGCCUCUGUUGUAUUCACACUCAGGCCAUCUGCACACAUCCCUUUGGAUGCUCACACAGCAACUCUGCAGGGCCGCCCUUCGUAUCUGCUUUAAAAGAUAUGAAGUUCCACGAAGGGCAAACUGAGGCUUGGUUAAGUUACUUGCCAGGCAGUAACUCAUGGGAAGCCAGGAAGACUCAUGGGAACAUUUAUCCCUGGGUUUUCUGACUCGAAAUGUGGUUGUGUUUUUUCCUUUUGAAUUCUGUUAUGAAAGCCCCCUCCAUUUGAGACACAUUAUCAUAGGUCUCUGCAAGAACCCCUUUUGCUUCUUUUCCUCUUCUCCCUCGUUCCCAGCCCCUUCGCUCCUCUCAGGCACCCACUGUGGUGUGUUUGCUGUAUGCCCUGCAUGUGUACCUACUGUACUGUUCUGAAUGAGUCUCUGUUUUUAAUUUAGACACAGGGAUUCUGUUCCAGAUCCCCUUCUGGUUUUCUUUUUACUAAGUACUAUCUUUUUUAGAUCCUUUCAUGUUGCUUUGUUUAGCCCAGAUGAGAGGCUGCAUGGCCCCUUCUCUGGGCAAAGGCCGUGCCCUUCACCUCUCUUGUCCCCUGCUUUUGGACACUACGGAUGCCCAGCCAUGAACCCCUCGCACCUGUACCGUGUGGACUGUGGGAGAGUUUCCCUGGUACGGACACAGGGCUGGGGUGGAUGAGUCAUUGUGCACAUGCACACUUAAUUUCACAAGCUGUGCCAGAUUGUUUUCCAGAAUGACUACAGUUUGUGCUUCCACUGACAGCGCUCAGGGUUCCUGUCUCCCCACGUCCUCCCCAGCACCUGGUAUCAGCAGGUGUAUCAGAAAGGAUGCAUUUGAUAGCUCAAGCACAUCAGGGUGCUGGAUUAGCAUCGCAGUGAUGCUCUUUUUGCUACAGACAUCACCUUAUCAAAACAGCAUUUUAAGUAGAAAGAAUGUCAGGCAGGAAAAGGAGGUGUUUACUGCAAUUCUCUAUCUUCUAUUAGGGAAGAAAAUUUCCCCCAAAAUCCCCAGUAGACUUCCUUCCCCUUAUGUCUCAUUGGCCAGACUGGGCUAGAUGUCUUCCCCAGGCCAGCCCUGACCAAGAGAACAGGAUUGCUCUGGGCUCCGUGUACCUUUUCUGAGCACAGUGCUGUCUGCCCAGGACCUGGUGGAACUGGGAAUAUCUGAAUAAGGAUGAAGAGGGCAGCGGAGCGUGGGUUACUCAGCCACCCAUAGACACUUCCACACCAGAUCUCUGAUUUUGCCAAUUUCUUUUUUUGUUUUUUGUUUUUUUUAGGAAGAUUAGCCCUGAGCUAACAUCUGCUACCAAUCCUCCCCUUUUUGCUGAGAAAGACUGGCCCUGAGCUAACAUCCAUGCCCAUCUUCCUCUACUUUCUAUGUGGGACGCCUACCACAGCAUGGCCUGUCAAGCGGUGCCAUGUCCACACCCAGGAUCCGAACCAGCAAACCCCGGACCGCCGAAGUGGAACGUGUGCACUUAACCGCUGCACCAUGGGGCCGGCCCCUGAUUUUGCCAAUUUUUUUUGAGCACAUGCUUCCUCUUCUAUACAAGAGAUCUUCCCCCCGAAUCUGUGUGACUACCCAUUUGUAGAGAGUUUCUGAAACGGUGAGGAAACUACUGCUCAGAGAUGUGAAAUAACUCAGCAGAGGUCACACAGCUAAUAAGUGACAAACAGGAAUGUCCAAGCAGUGAAGGUCAUUUCCAGUCGCCGAGUCUUUCACAAGCCCAUGUCUGGACCGGGACAUCUCAUGUCUCAUCGUGAGCAGGAGACUGGAAAAUAACUGGCCGGAGGGGAUAGGCCCAGCAGUAACACUGGCCCAGAGAGAAUUGAGUGCUUUUUCCCGGUGACAAGAAGACACACGCAGCUGGAAAAAGGAGCCUAGGCCGUCACCAUGUUCCCCAAAUAGCAGAACACCUCCCUCCUUCCCACCUUCUCUCCCGUGGCACAGAAUACGUUUUACCAGGGAUCGGUCACUGCUGAGCUGUCGUCACUUAAUGUGGCUUUGACAGAAUAGUUGGUCUGGAAAUCUUAUUUUCAAUUAAAUGACCUUAUUGAACUGCCUUGGUUUUGAAAAGAUUCCAUUAGGAUGGCUAAUUAUAUAGCAGUUGCUCCAAGGAGAUGCUGGCACUCCAUUUCAGCUCUUAAGUAAUUCGAAUCAAAUGCUGUCUUCUUUCCUCCUUGGAGCUGUGAGCGACCGUCUUCCUCUCACACUGCAGGCUUCUCGUGAGUUAUUUUUGGAAAUCCAAGUCAAAACAGCAAUUUUGGCAGAGGCCAUUUCUAGCCUAGCAGAGUAAACCGUAUGUACUGAUAAAAACAGCCGAAGAGUCAGUGCCUUUAAAAAGCAACUAAACCAUCUCCUUCUGUGGGGGUUAAAUUUGGGGGACCUCCAAACUGUCCUUUGUACUGUCCUAUUCCUUCGUGAGCUCUAACUGAAGUCAAAGACAUUGGAAUUCCUUUAAGAUUAGCAAAGCUUUGUCCGUUUGCAAACUGUCAUCAUGGUCAUUUUGUUUCAAGGUGGCAGGCCUUGGCAGAAUUUACCAGGCACUCUGUUUUGGCCUCUGGAUCUCCCCUGAAACGUGGAAAUCACUUUCUGUUCCCAUUCUGUGCUGUUUGCUUCUGUCACCAGAGCACUCGCGACAUUCCUCGCGACAUUCCUCGUUACGCAUACCAAGCAGUCAGAUCUUCCUGCUCACCCGUUAGAACGGAGCUUCUUGUGGCCAGGGGCUGUGUUUUUCAUCUUAUUUCCUUCCUGGCCCAUAAUAGAUGCUCAAAUAGUUGGAUGAAUAGAUAGACUAGAUAGAUGAAUGAAUAGAAUCCUAUUUCUAUUUUUCUCCUUUUUAAAAAAAAAAUCAAUCAUUUAUUACAUAAAUAGUAAAUGAAUGUUUUCACCUUGGGGGGAAAAAACAGUUUCCAAAUAAGGUUAAAGUCCUUUUUUUUUUUUCCAGUUUUCUUUUUUUUUAAAGAUUGGCACCUGAGCUAACAACUGUUGCCAAUCUUCCUUUUUCUUUUUUCCUGUUUUUUCUCCCCAAAUCCCCCCAAUACAUAGUUGUGUAUUUUAGUGGUGGGUCCUUCUAGUUGUGGCGUAUGGGACACCACCUCACUGUGGCCUGAUGAGCGGCGCCAUGUCUGUACUCAGGAUGCGAAUCAGUGAAACCCUGGGCCGCCGAAGCAGAGCACACGACCUUAACGACUUGGCCCCAGGGCCGGCGCCUGAAGUCCUUUUUUGAUCACUGCCCAUGAUCCUUGUUUCCCCAUCAUCUCUGCUUAGGUUAUCCCUUUGGAGCACAUCCUCACAGACCUCUCUAAUGCGUUUAUGUACACGCACAUACACACACACAGAGUACUGUUUUUGUAGACCUGUGAUAAAGAGAUUAUUCUGCAACUUGCCUUUUCCUACUCAGCAAUAUAUCAAGUGCUAUCCAUGUCAGCUACCUUAUUCUUUGUAACUGCUACAUAGUUUUAUUACGUUGUGUGGCUAUAAUACCUUUUAUGUGGACCAAAUAAAUAAAUUCCUUAUCUGUUUUCAUGCUCAUUAUAGUUCAGGAUCCCUUCUCCUGUAUAUGUUGACAAACUAACCCUGUCCACUGCUAUCUUUUGGUAGCUACAGUACAUUUCAUCAGAAUCAGCCAAUUGCCCUGGGGAUUUUGCUAAACCAGUAGACAGAAUCAUGAGAAAUGAAAUGAGGGUUGCCAGAGGGACCUGAAUUCCCUUCUCUGCAGAAGCUAGGGAAGUAGGUGCACUCUGCACUGGGAAUACCACAGGUCUGGAGAGCGAGGGAUGUUAGAUUUCCUCGGGCAGGUCAUUUCCUAUCCCUGGACCUUAUUUUUCUCAUCUGCCCAAUGGACUCAGUGAGCCUCUUUCAACUGUUAGACCCUGAAUAAUAGGGCUGACACAGUGCCACCAGAACGGAUAAACAGAAUAUAUUAACUCUCUCUCCGCUAUGUGGCGGGAUGGGAAAGGGGCACGUUAAAAAUACUUUUUACGGGCCGGCCCCGUCGCCGAAUGGUUAAGUUCAUGUGCUCUGCUUUGGUGGCCCAGGGUUUGGAUCCUGGGCGCGGACAUGGCACUGCUCAUUAGGCCAUGUUGAGGCAGCAUCCCACAUGCCACAACUAGAAGGACCCACAACUAAAAUAGACAACUAUGUACUGGGGGGAUUUGGGGAGAAAAAAAAAGCAGGGAAAAAAAUAGAUUGGCAACAGUUGUUAGCUCAGAUGCCAAUCUUUAAUUAAAAAAAUAUGUAUUUUAAUUAUAUUUUUAUUCUAUUUUAAUUAAGAUAAAUUUUAAAAUUUUAAAAUAGAGAUUCAGCCCAGAGCCCUUCACUGUGUUCAUGUCACAAAGAGUCUGUGAUUGGCCAGGAAUGCACUGCCUCUAGAUCUCACACUUCUCUCUUAUUCUUUUCUUAUCCAAUUAAAAUGUUUAUAUUUUUUCCUUUGCUUUGUGUGGUCUUUUUGUCCUAAGCAAGGCAAUCGGGUGUUGGGGAGAGAGAUUAUGGACUCCUGAGUUCGACCAUCAGGUUUGUCUAGUUCUAGCUGUGUGUUCUUAGACAAGUCACUAACCUUCUCUGGGUUUCCAUCUAUUAAUAUGGUGAUUCCAAAUUAGCCAAGUAUUCAGUAAAAAAAACAAAAACAAAAGGUAAAACCAGACUCGCUUGUGAAUGUUUCAUCUGGCAUUUAUGAACCUUGUCACCUGCGGAUAGAUCAUCUCGUGAAUUGAUGAGGCAUCCUAAGAGACCACCAAAACUCAUUAAAUAGUCUUGGUUCACAUGAGAACUGUGCAGCUGCUCUGGCCCCUGGUGACACACCAAGUGUCAGUGGGUUCUGAGGGAGGCCCAGGGAAGGUUCUGUGCUGCCAUGAUUCAUAGGUUGAGUUUCCCUCUAAGCUUCAAGGCUUUGAUCACGUGUCCCCUGCUUUGAGAUGCAGGACCACAAGGGUCACAGGAUCUGAUUCACACACUGGUGGGUUUCCCUUGGGGUCCCCAUCAGGCUUUCCCAUGUAGGGUGAGAGUUCUCGUCCCUUGUCUUGGCAUUACACAUUGAUCUGGAGACACCAUGGUUCUGCAGGUGAAAGGUUGGGGUGAAUGGGUGUGAAAAGUGCGUGGGAGUCACAGCCCCAAAAGGUCUCUGGGAGUUUGUCUUUCCUGCUCCCAACACUGUUUUGCAUCUCUACCGUGAGCUUCUGUUUCUGAGCACCCCUUGAGCUAAGCUGAUCUGUUGAGCCGAUCUGUGGAGGAAUGAGGCCACUGUGAGCUACCUGCCGGGGCAGGUGACCUCACCCCUCCCAGCCUCUGCUUCCCACCCCGCUGGGUCUUUAAUAUGAAAUGAGACUGCAGUAGGUGCUGAGCUCGCAUCACCUUCCCAUUCCGCUUUCUGAUAUGGAAAGCAUCAUUUUAUAGGCUCUGAAUCUGUGUUCUGAGCUUCCAAAAGCCUACUGUAAACAUUUUACACAUUAACCAAAAUAAAACAAGAAGGCAGCACAGUGAAUGGAGAGAAUAUUAUUAGCAUGUUACACAUCUUAAAUUGGUAAAAAAAAAAAAAAAAGGAAUGAUGGAUCAUUUUCAUUUACGACUCUCACUCCCUGCUAAUUUUUCAGCAGCUCUCUCCUCGUCUCAAUAAAAUGCUGGAAAUCUAGUUGGCAUUGUUGCAAGUAAAUGCAGAGCCAGUCUCGACUGUCGCGCUGUCUCUCCCUGUAUUUGAUCCUCAUCCAGGUGAUCGAUACCAUUUUCAUUCAUAAUCCGGAAACUUUAAGAAAUGAAUCAGCUUGACCUAUGAUUCACAGAUACUUGAUCUGAAAUACUUGAUGUGGUUGUGAGGGGGUGGGAGGUAGAGUCAGAAAUAAAUUCCGUUGACCCCGAAAGUCAGCUUAGGUGAACUAGUAUGGUGGGGGAGGGCGAAUUAUCAUCCUGUGGUUUGUGUGGAUGGUUCCUGCUCUCAGGGAGCUGCACUGUAUUGGGGGGACUUAAGGUGGCCACACAACCAGGGUUGAUGAAAGAAUUCCAGGUUAUGCCCGUUGCUGCAGCCUCUUAGACGGUUAACGUGCCCUUCCACUAGCAGAAGUGUCACAGUGUGGAAAUAGAGGGUUCUGAAGAGACUAGACUGGGAGUUCUUAAAGGUCAGAGGUCUCAUUUUAUUCAUAUGUGCAUCCCCAGCGCCUGGCCUCUCGUAAGCAGUUAAUAAAAGAAAGACUUGCUAGGUGGGUGAGUGAGAACGUAAGUAGAUUCUUCACCUCCACUCUCUGAAUUUGGUCUCUGAAUUUCUGUUUCCCGUUUAUCUUUGUGUGCUCGGGCCGCUAGGGUGCCUCUACUGCGUUUUGACUGAACCAGAGAUUUCAGAACUUCAGCUGGGAAUCGCUUUGGUUGCAUGUACACGCCCUGGUGACCUGUAGCUUCACGACUUGCGGUGCGUUAUCCAAAUGAGUUUAUAACUUACCGAAGUACUGAAAACAGUGGCUUCCAUGAUGUCUCCUCCCAAGAAAUGGUGGUGGAGGUGGAGGUGAUGCUAUUCUUGUUAGCUGUCUGUCUUUGCUGCCUCUUGUCUUUUCUCCCCUAGCUAGAGGAUUCAUAGACCUUUAAAUACAUAUGUAUUUCAAAAAUAUAAGAAAUUGGAAAAAGAGAGUCAGAAAGCUAUCCAUAAUGUCAUGACCCUUGGUUACAUAGUAGCAAUUAUUAUUAAUGUGUGACUUGUUUUAUACAAAGUUUUUUACAUAGUUGUUAUCUUAAGGAGUUUUCCACUUUUUCUUCCAUCUGUAUUUUUCUGCAAGCAUUGCCCAUGUUAUUUGAGAACCUAUUCAACUACCAUUUGUUACUUUUAUCCAUAUGGUUGCUGGUAGAUGGUUGUUUACUUUUUUCCCUUUCGUAAAAGAAAUUUUCCUUCUGGGCUGUCCUGUAUCUCAAGAAAAUCUCAAAAGUGAAAUUAUUGGAUCAAAAGAUAUGAAUGUUGUUAAAUUAUAUGUAUAUCUAUAUUUAAAUGAAUAGAAUUUAUUUUUUAGAGAAAUUUUAGGUUUACAAAAAAUUGCGUAGAAAGUACAGAGAGCUCCCACAUCCUAGCCCCACCCCCAUUCCCCAUAUUGUUAACAUCUUGCAUUAGUAGGGUGCAUUUGUUACAGUUCAUGAACCAAAACUGAUACUUAUGGCUAAAGUCCAUAGUUUACAUUUAGGAUUCUGUGUUAAAUGGUUCUUUGGGAUUUUCGCAAAUGCAUAAUGUCACGUAGCCACCAUUAUAGUAUCAUGCAAAAUGGUUUUACAGCCCUAAAAAUCCCCUGGGCCCCUGUUAAUCCCUCCCUCCCUCCCUCUCUCAAACCCUUCGCAACCAGUGAUCUUCCACUCUUUCCAUCGUUUUGCCUUUCCCAGAACGUCAUAUAGUUGGAAUCACACAGUAUGUAGGCUUUCAGACAGGCUUCCUUCACUUAGCAGUAUGCGUUUAAGAUUCCUCUCCGUGUCUUUUCAUGGCUUGAUGGUUCAUUUCUUUUUAGGGCUAAAUAGUAUUCCGUGUCUGGAUGUACUACACUUUAUCUGUUCACUUACUGAAGGACAUCUUCAUUACUUCUAAGUUUUGGCAAUUAUGAAUAAAGCUGCUAUAAAUAUUCGUCUGCAGGCUUUUGAGGGGACAUGUUUUCAACUCAUUUGGUUAGACACCAAGGAAAGUGAUUGCUGGAUCACAUGGUAAGACUAUUUCUGUAAGUAACUGCCAAAGCUUUCUAUUUUUUACGUUUAUUCAACAGAUUUUAGUUGUAAUACCAUGAACAUGGUUAAUCCUCCAUCUACACUUAGUGUUAUAAUGAACACCCUCUCCUCAGUCUUUUUUUGUGUGUGAGGAAGAUUGGCUCUGAGCUAACAUCUAUGCCAAUCUUCCUCUAUUUAUUUGGGAUGCUGCCACAGCAUGGCUUGACGAGCAGUGCUAGGUCCACGCCUGGGAUCCGAACCUGAGAACCCUGGGCCACCAAAGCAGAGCACAUGAACUUAACCACUAUGUCAACAGGCUGGCCCCCUCUCCUCACUUUUAAGCCUACCGCUACCAUGUCACACAGAGAUGCUCAGAGUGGUGUUUUCAUCUGGAUCCAAGUAUAUUGUGGCCACAAAGUCUCAUAGCAUAAAAAUAGCAACAACAACAAUAAUAAUCUUGAUGAUAAUAAUAGCCAAGAAUUAUUGAUUACUUAGCAUUGUCAGGCUCUUUACAUGUGUUAUUUCAUUUCACCAUUACAGCUACCCUCUGGUUAGGUACCAUUACUACCCACAAUUUGGAGAUAAGAUCGAGGCUUAGGGAGAGUGAAUAACUUGCACAAGUGUUAGUGGUAAAGCCAAGUGUGCGUCCAUCUAGUUUUGCUCGACUCUGCUCAGCAAUGUAUUAUGCCAGAGUUAAGAGCAUGAGAUUUAGAGUCAGAUGGACGUAGGUUAGUAUUCUGGACCUACCAUUUUGCCAGUCAUGUGAUCUUGACCUGGUGACUUCUAGCUGCAGUGUGCCCAUCUGUAAAAUGGGAUAAUAACACCUACCCAUGGCAAAUGCUGUCUGUUGUCUCCUCAAUAGCUAUGGCCUCCCCACCACACAGAACCAGGUUCAGGUGUUAGGGAAGAGGCCCCAGAUCUCAGGGAAGAGAGGCCCCAUCCCAGCCUCCUGAAAUGAAUCAAGAUUGGUUUAAGUCAGAUAUGGUAAUGGUGGGCAUGUUAUCUAGUUUUGUUGGGGUAAGCAUGCUAGGGAGGGGUUCUCUUCCCAAGUAAAAAGACAAAGCCCCCCAUAGGGGAAGCUCAUACUUAUCUUUUCUUCCUGCCUGGAUGUUGGGCAUGAUACCUGGAGGUGCAGCAGCCAUCUUGCAAGCCUAAGCUGACAAGCUAAUAGACUAAAAUGGUAGAGCAGAAAAGAUAGAAAGAGCCUAGGUCAUUGACAGCAUCGUUAAGCUGUUCGACCAGCCCAAGACAGAAGACUACCUCCACGCUUUUUGCUAUUGAAACAGUUCUUACUUGUUUAUGCCACCCCAAGCUGAGUUGUCUUCUCUUUGCAGCUGAGAGCAUUUCUAAUAGAUAAACAGUUUUCCACCAAAGCACAGGGUUGAGUAACUUAGUAUGAUGGUUGAGAGCCCAAAUUCUAGACUUGGAGUUCUGGGGUUUUAUUCCUAGUUCUUCCACCAACCAGCUGUGUGACCUGGACAAGUCACUGAGCUUCUCUGUGCCUCACUGUCCUCAUCUGUAAAAUUCCCAAUAAAUGUGUACUGGGAUCGAAUGAGGGAUAAUAGUGCUACUUACCUCCCAAGAUUAUUAUGAGCGUUCAUAAAAUGACUAAGUAUUUUAUAAAAUGACUAGAGCAUAGCCCGACACAUAGUAAGUGGUUAUACGCAUGUUUGUCAAAAAAAAAACAAUUAAAGAAAAGGAGUCACUAUUACUGGCUUCAGUUUGAACCCCGAUGUGAUCCUUGGGCCACAUGCAGUAUUCAAGCAGAAGCUUGACCCUUUCACUCCCCAGACUCAUGGAGCAUGAAGCUCCCACUAAAAUCUGUCUCAAAGCAGCAACAGGUGGUUUCUUUUUAACAGAAAAGAUUCCUUAGAGCAGGUUGACUUAAAACAGGAGGGGCUGUGAUAUCAAGGCGUGUCAGGGAGUGAAUGACCGAAAUACCCAAACUUGCCCAUGCAAAUGGCUCUGAGUCUCCCCUGACUGCCCUUUAGAAGGUUCUAGACUUCUGUGAACUCCUUUUUGAAAGGGUCUUUCCACCAGUGGCUUAUUCUUUUGAAUCUCCUUACACCUUUCUUGCUGGUGGCUGGUGGGUGGGAGUGGGGAGGAAGGGGUGACACCUGCCUGCGUUCGGGGCCCUUUUCCCUUGUGAGGGACGAGACCGCUGGCCAGUAUGUGAGGGAGCUGGCUGGACCUGGUCUCUCUCACUGUCUACUGCCCACAGUGCCAUCCUCUGUAAAGAGCAGAUUUGAAUUUGGGCAGCAACUCAGCAUUUUUUGGAAACCUAUCUCGUUUGUGAGCUUAAAGAUAGACGUGCCCAUUACCAAAUCCAGUGGAAUCUUCCUUCAAAAUAUAUGCCUGUUCCACUCCUCACCCUCGCCUCCAGAGACAGUCCACACCAGGCCACCUCCCCUUCUGCCUGGAUUACUGCCUCGUAACUGGCCUUCCCGUUUCUACCCUCCCCUUCCUUCUCCCUCAGCAGCCAGGGGACCCUUUAAAAAUGUCAACCAAAUCAUUGGACUCACCUGCUGAGAACCCUCCAAUGGAGUCCCAUCUCACUUGGAAUAAAGUCCUCAGUCCCUACUGUGCCCUACGAGGCCCUCCCUGCCACCCCCGCUCACUCUACUCUCCCCACUGGCCUGGCUGUCAGUCAAACAUACCUAAGCACAGGCUGGCCUCAGGGCCUUAGCACGGAAUGUUCCCCUUUUUCCCUCUAUACCUGCCUGGCUCAUUUCCUCACCUCAUUCAGAUCUCUGCUCAGAUGUCAACUCCCAGAGAGGCCUUCCCUGGUCACCCCCUCUAACACAGGUCCCCUCACCCCUCAUUUUCUGUCGUUAUCUAUAGUUCAUAGACUUGCUGACAUUAUUACAAAUUUGGUGACUUUCUGCCUUCCCCAUCAGAAUAUAAGCCCUACAAGGAAAGAGGCAUUGUUUUGUUCAUUCAGGUACCCACAGAACCCAGAACAUUCUGCAAUUGGUGCUCAGUAUAUAGUAAACUAGAUAAAGCCUUUUUUUGGACAGAAAUAAGGUCUGUCUGACAAAGUUCUAAGCCUGAUGUCUCUUGUGAACCUGCCAAGUUGACCCUGAAUCCACUUCCCGGAAAGCUCCAGAUACAUUCUGGAUGAUGGGAGCAACGCCGGACCAGUGUUGAACAUCCCAAAGCAAGUACUUUGAGAAUGAAAGUGUGGGAGCCUGGAUGACUCCUCCUGCAUUUGUCUAAAAAUCCUCCUUAGCACCUUUAGUUCCUUUUCUCCCUUCCUCUGCUCCUGGGCACCAGACAAGCAAUCCCAAAUGUGGUGUCUUUGCACCGGUCAGAUCAGAGUUCUCAUCUGGGGUGGUUUAAAAACAACAUGGCCCCAUUCCUUGACAUUCUCCCCUUUGAAAGAUGGGAUCUGGGUCCUUUCCUUGAGUGUUGUGAUGGCUUCAAGCAGUAGUCACACAAGGGCACGCAGCUCCUGCCUGGUUUCUUUGGGAUGCCAUUCUGGGGAAGUACUCAGACUCCGUGCUGAAGAAGCCACAUGUACAUGCCCUGGUCCAUGGUCUCAGCUGAGCUCGCAGCCAGCACCCAGCACUGGCCGACAGCCAUGCCGGCUGCCAUCUUGGAUGUUAGGACCAUUUGCACUUUCAAAUGACCACAGCCCAGUGACAUCUGACUACAGGGUCAUGAGAAACACCCAGCCAAGCCCUUCCCGAAUUCCUGACCAAAAACUCAUGAGUAACAUAAAACGAGUAUUGUUUUACAACGCUAAGUUUUGCAGUAACUUGUACUCAGGAAUAGUAACCAGGACGCCACCCUAACCCUUCCCUAUGGACUAAGCAAUCUUGAGCAAAUUUCCUUUAAUACUCUGGGCAUGAGAUUUCUCAUGUGUGAGUUUGGAGUGACAGUCUAUAUUUAUGUGGCUGUUGUUUAGAUCAAAAGCAAAUUUUGUCUCAAACCUAGCAAGGUUCCCAGCACAUCCUGCCUUUCCUCAAAUCUAAGAUGCCGUCCAUUAUACAACUCACACUUAACUUAUGUGCCACUAAGAAAGAAACAAAUGCUUUCUAUUAAACUACUGAAUGCCACUGGUUGUAGGACACACACCUGUCUGGGAGAUGUUGAAAUUUGCAAAGAUGUGUAUCUUAGGAUCUUUGAUUUAAAGAGAGAUUAACACAAUCAUCUAGUUAAGUACAGGCACAGAACAAGACCACCGAGAUUUGAGUUUGUGAGAAACGGGGAACUUAAAGCAAAUGUGUCUUUGUAUGAAAGUCUCUAAUUUGCUGUCCCAUUUUACACAAUAGAAUGCAAAGAUCAGUAGAGACAACCUUGUAGUUCAGGCAGAAAGCACCUUCCUCAGGCAGCUGUCAAAGGGUUAGAAUUCAAAUGACAUGGCAUCACAGUUAUUUAACAGAAAUGUAUCUUGCAGAAGAAAGGAAGUCAGAUCCCUAAGUGUGGCUGUGAGUAAUAGUUUUUCUUAGUGGAAACUCACCUCUAGUAAUUAGUAAUAGACCAACCCCCUUUUCUCUUUGGUUUUUGAAUCGUUUCUUUUUUAGAACAUUAACUAGUAGUUCCGUGAGAGAUGUCAGCCAGUGAGCAAAAGGGGUCUGGGCAGUGAGCAGGAUGGCAGGAGACCCAGGCCACAUCUAGUGGAGCAGAAACACAAAGAAGCAUCAGAGUGUCAGCAGACUUGAAGCUAAGCCUGAAUAUGGAGUGCCUCAUUUAGUCAGUUCAGCCACGCAGAGUGUUCCUAUGUUGGCCCUCAUUUGAAAUGUGAGCCCGCUUCAGGACCAGUGAAGUGGAAUGUCUUGCUCAAAGUUACAUAGCUUGGUUCAUUAGACAGAGAGCCUAUGCUCUUAGCCACAGUGCUGUGUGCAUCAAAAUGUUUGCAAAGACAUGGAAGUGGGUUCAUAUGAGACUCUAGCCGGCCCAGGACUCUCAGCACAGCUAUCUUUCCAGCCUUACCCAAACAGGGAAUUCCUUUUCAUACCUCCUUGCUUUUGCCAAAGGGAGUUUUCUACCAAUCAGUUUCUUCUUGCCUCCCCCUUUUCCUGGUGAAACCAAACCAUCCUUCAAGGCCCAGCUCAAAUGGGGCAUCUUAACCCUUGUUCCUACAGGGUGAUUCCUAGCUGCCCUGGACUCCCAGGGCAUUGUCCCCGGGGCCCCUUGGCUGGCCCUCCUGGUGGUGUUGGUGGUUUCUGUUGGUCACACCUAUGAGACUGGAAGUUUCCUGAGGCUCUGGAAUUAGACUGAGUCAGAAUCCCACCUCUACAACUUACAGCUUGUGUUCUUGGGCAAGUUUCUUAGCUUUCUGGGCUUUAAUUUUCUCAUCUACAAAAUGAGAAUAUCAACUUCCCAGGAUUGUCAUGAAAAUUGUGUGUUUGCUGAGAUGGCAUCGUGAGGGCUGAACACUGUUCUUAUGUGAGAGGCGCUUGCUCAGUCUCUGCGUGCGUCAUCUCCUUUCGUCUUCACGCCCACCCUCUGAGGUUGGUUCUUUUACCAUCAUGCCCAUUUACAGAUGAGGUGACACCGUAUGCUCAUGGCCCCACAGCCAGAAUGUGACAAAACUGGGCUCUAAUCUUACCUUUUAAAACUCGCCUCUCUUGACAGGAUCCCGGCGGAAACCUUCCAUGGACUGCAUUCUGAGGAGGUUUUGUCACGUACCAACCUCUUUAGAUGUGCUUUAAUUUGGGUCUUAAUUUCCAACUCAUUCUUAUCUAGGAGAUCUUUACCCUGAUUUGAAGGAAAAUGAUGCUGCAACCAGCUUAGUCUCAGUAGAAGGUUUACACACAGCAUGUGCCAAUAACAGGUACUUCCACCCUUGGGCUCUUCCGGGUGGUGACUUAUCAGCACCACAAUUGUCCAUUUAUAUUGUGAACCAAACACAUGGAUCAGACUAUUGGCCUUGAAAAGCUCAAGCACAGCCUUCAGUGAAAUUCAGUUUCCACUUCAUUCUUUAGUCCAAAGGUUGUGACAAUGGCAGUCUCCGUCUCCCUCGUAUGACUUGGCUGGUUGGGUUUCUCUCUGGUUGACUGUAUUCCUGGCCUCUUGGGGACCCUCUAAAAUGGCAGGCAGAGGAAAGGAGGCAUUUCUGUGUGCUGCCUUCAUUUGUUCCUCAAGGGGUUUCGGCUAAACUCCCUAAACAAAAUGAAUUUGAUUUUAUCUGCCAGAGAACAUUCUAAGUAAAAAGAUCAAGAGCCAUCACCCCAUUGAGCUCUCUCCCCACAUCUCGAGAAGGCUGGGCUCCUUGGAGUGGAGAGUGGGCUGGGACCCCAUUCUGGCAGCAUAGCGGAGAUCUUCCUGCCUCAGUGUGGAUCUGGUGAAUGCUGAGGGACUCAGGGUGGGCUCCGAGGUGGACUCAUUGUCCCAGCUCACUGUGCAGACAGGGCAGUAAGUGCCAGGCCUGGGACUGUGGCCGUAACCUUGGCCGGUGGUCGGCCUUUACUUUCAGCAGCAGCAGAGGGAUCGUAACUGUGGUAGAGAAGGAUGUCGAGGCAGAAAUUGUUGAGGAUCUACACUGUGUCAAGCACUGAGAGAGUUUCUUCAGAUAUUUGGGAUUUUGAACGUAUCUACUCUUCUAAUUUAUUUCCAUCGUCCUCAGAGAACAUGUUCUGUGUGAUUUCGCUCCUUUGAAAUGUAUUGAGAGUGAUCUCGUGGUUCAACAUAUGGCCUGUCUUGGGGAACGAUGCAUGUGAACUUGAAAAGAAUGUGUCCUCUACAGGUUUGGGGUGGCGUGUUCCAUAGACAUUGGUUGUGAAAGACCCAGGACUCCGCCUGGUACAGAACAAUCUUCACUCUGCGGCGCCCCCAGGGGAGGGCAAGUGGGAGACAUCCAUGUGGGUGAAGAGGCACGGCCAGCCCCCCAACCCCAGGUGGCAGACUCUAUGCCAACUUGUCCUCCAUGUGGCCCCCAUAAGAAGAAAGGCCAAGAACUCUAAAAAGACCUCUGAGGCCAAGAGAAAAUGUCCAGGGAUUUGCUCGACGGAGAGAAGCUGGCCCUUGGAGAUGAGGAGGGGUGUAUGUACGUAAGACUCUCUCUCCCCAGCUGCUCUCUCUCUUCUCCUCAGGCCUUCAGCAAACAUUUAUCAGAGACUUGCUCUUCCUGGUAGCUGUUCUAUGUGUGGGGAUGUAAGGAUCAACAUUGCCCCUGUCCUCCCAGAAUUUUCAGGCCACCGGGAAUACAGGUAAUUAAACAGGCAAUUAUGCCCAACAGGGCAGGGGGCAUGCCUGGAAAAGUACGUAUAUAUCAGAAUAGAGCCGCUCUCGCUUUUUUCCUCCCUCUCUCCUCCUCCGUUACACAGAUCUGCAGAUCAAACAGGAGGAUUUCCGCAGGGAAGCUGAAAGGUAGAGAUGACAUGGUGCUAUCUGUCAACCUAUUAGAAAGCUUGAUGUAAUUAUUUCGUGAAGGGCAAGGGAUGUUGCCCUGGGAGAGGGGACCCUGGAGGUUCACGGAGUAGAGAAGAGAUACUGUGCAGACAAGGAAAAAAGUCUUUCCUGAGGUUGGUAAAUUUGUAUUUAUGGAAUUGGUUACAGGAGGCCCCAGUGGGAGGUUUUUCUUUCAAAUAGGUUUUGGCAACUCCAUAGAAGACGGUCUUUGCCCACCUUUGGUGAGCUCAUGGUUUCUGUUUCUUUUCUCACCAAAUUGUAUGCCUAAACUUCUAGAAAAUAGUCAUAUUGACCCACUUAAAUUUUCCACCUUUUUAAUUGCCCUUGUUCCUGGGUGGAGGGAGUAUAAUGAGCUAGCAGUGGGAGGUGGGGGUGGGAGGCGAAAGGUUAGACUGUCUUUGAUGAGCUGGGAGGAAGGCCUGGGGCUGCGUGAUCAGAGAAUGUGGUUCUUCGGUGGCCUUUGGGGUCACUUAUUAGGUUUGGGAACACUAGUUGGGAGUUCACCAAACAGCGUGCAGCCCAUGAGGGUGGGCGACUCUUUGUGGGAGCUGAGGAGAAGCCUGAGGAUCAGGGAGGACCCAUGCUAUACCCUGGGAGGUGGCAGAGGCUGUGGGCCCCACGAGACCCAACACCAGUAAUGGAGGAACUACUGGCAGCCGCUUGCUUAUAUCCCCCAUCCUCAUUACCACCCUGGGACCCAGGGAUCUGCAUUUUACCCGUGAGGCGACAGACACUGAGCAUAGUUAAGCCAAGUCGCUCAGCUCCGGCUAGAAGUGGUGGAUUUGAGAACUGAUUCCACACAAUCCCGGGCUCUGAGACCUUGGCUUCCAUUGCCACAUGCCCAGCUGCUUCCCUAGAGCUUUGGGGGCAGCUCCUGGAAUCAGGCUGCCUGGAUUCAGAUCCCAGCUCACUAUUCAACAGAACAAUGAUCCGAGGUCAGUUCCUCACCCUCGGGUUCCUCCUUUGUAAAAUGGGCUGGUUUGGUCACCGUGCUCAAGGACUGUUCUCGAUGCCCCAUUGAGCUCGUGCGGUGCAUGUAAAGCUCUGAGCACACGUGUAAGUGCUCCGUACGUGUUGGUUACCGUGCUUGUUAUUAACCCAGCAGGACAAGGAGGAAGGUUGGGGGCGUCCCGGGUGUGCUGUCGCUCCUCUGUUUCCUCCUCCCACUGUCCCGACUGGCAGGCAAUCAGGAGUUGGUUUUUCUGGUACAAAGCUUGCCCUGGUAUCCUGGAGUGACCUGCAGGCCUGAGAUUAUUGUACAGGCCCACACGCCCAGCCAAAUUUACCGCUCGCCUCGGUGGCCCCCUCAGCCUGUGCCUCUGUAGUUGAGAGAAACCGCUACCCUUCAGCCCGCGUUCUCGCUCUGGAAAGGCCUGACCUUUAUUCAGAAUCAUCCUCCAGUCCCCACGUCACACACAGGCUCGUUCACCCACUCCCUCCCCCGGCACGCCCUUUGUUUUCUCUCUUUGGGGGAGAUAAUGGGGACCACAGUGUCUCCAAGACAGCUGUUUUUCCUUCGUCUCUGUCUCUGUCCUUCUAACUCUCUGUUCCCCAGUGGGGUCUCUCUGACACAGGAGGGUACAGUGAGGAUAUGAAGGUGUUGAAGGACAGGGCUGUAGCGUCAAACAGCCUGGGCUUAAUCCUCUGAGGUCCAGAACAACUGCCCUUCACUUAACGUUCCUCAUGGGCAUGCC
This 27731-nucleotide long non-coding RNA is filed under the name Equus caballus (horse). Its description in RNAcentral is "lncRNA (ENSECAG00000059935.1)". The stretch from base 11508 to 11613 matches the Rfam family "Pvt1 oncogene conserved region 6". Lineage: Eukaryota; Metazoa; Chordata; Mammalia; Perissodactyla; Equidae. The record is from RNAcentral.